UGGGGAAUCUUAGACAAUGGGCGAAAGCCUGAUCUAGCGAUGCCGCGUGUGUGACGAAGGCCCUAGGGUCGUAAAGCACUUUCGCCAGGGAUGAUAAUGACAGUACCUGGUAAAGAAACCCCGGCUAACUCCGUGCCAGCAGCCGCGGUAAUACGGAGGGGGUUAGCGUUGUUCGGAAUUACUGGGCGUAAAGCGUACGUAGGCGGAUUAGUCAGUCAGAGGUGAAAUCCCAGGGCUCAACCCUGGAACUGCCUUUGAUACUGCUAGUCUUGAGUUCGAGAGAGGUGAGUGGAAUUCCAAGUGUAGAGGUGAAAUUCGUAGAUAUUUGGAGGAACACCAGUGGCGAAGGCGGCUCACUGGCUCGAUACUGACGCUGAGGUACGAAAGUGUGGGGAGCAAACAGGAUUAGAUACCCCCGUAGUCC
This 424-nucleotide ribosomal RNA is filed under the name uncultured prokaryote. RNAcentral's name for it is "bacterial SSU rRNA". It matches the Rfam family "Bacterial small subunit ribosomal RNA", at positions 355 to 796 of the family's 1533-position model. The record is from RNAcentral.